RNAcentral lists this transfer RNA (57 nucleotides) under Staphylococcus nepalensis. RNAcentral describes it as "tRNA-Ile". It matches the Rfam family "tRNA", at positions 8 to 61 of the family's 71-position model. Rfam says of the family: Transfer RNA (tRNA) molecules are approximately 80 nucleotides in length. Their secondary structure includes four short double-helical elements and three loops (D, anti-codon, and T loops). Further hydrogen bonds mediate the characteristic L-shaped molecular structure. tRNAs have two regions of fundamental functional importance: the anti-codon, which is responsible for specific mRNA codon recognition, and the 3' end, to which the tRNAs corresponding amino acid is attached (by aminoacyl-tRNA synthetases). tRNAs cope with the degeneracy of the genetic code in two manners: having more than one tRNA (with a specific anti-codon) for a particular amino acid; and 'wobble' base-pairing, i.e. permitting non-standard base-pairing at the 3rd anti-codon position. The record is from RNAcentral. Lineage: Bacteria; Bacillati; Bacillota; Bacilli; Caryophanales; Staphylococcaceae.
UAGCUCAGCUGGUUAGAGCGCACGCCUGAUAAGCGUGAGGUCGGUGGUUCGAGUCCA